UAAUUUUUUCAGAGAUAAACAAAUUCCCUGAAGAUUCCAGAUUUUCCAAGUUUUUCCAAGCAGUAGACAGCCUGUAGAAGUUAUGAUACGAAAUAUAGAAGCGAACCGUAAGGAGAACAUGAGAUAAACAAGCGCACAAACAACCUGCGCCGUAAAGUAAAAGUAUCUUCGCUGUUAAACCGCAAGCUGGAAAUCAGCUGGACCGAUUAUAAAUGAGACUGGAUGAUGAGUUGGAUUAUGCUUGUUGGAAAGAAAUUGUUUCUUUUCAACCAUUUGCUCGAGAGCCGUGCGGGCAUGGUAGACUCGAAAUUCUCUCGGGGAAUUUAUCAUUAAUUGCGGUUUGCGUGGUCUCGUAAAAGCACUCUCUGUCGUAUUCCGGCCGUAGAGGAAGAGCGUAAUAAAAGAAAGCGGAAAAAGAAAAGAAGGAGAACGACAUGACAUGCAAGAAGGGUGGAGAGGACUCGCGAUUGUGUACGCGUGUAUGUGUAUGCGCGAGUGUGUGCGAAGGGAAGAGAGAGAGAGAGAGAGAGAGAGAGAGAGAGAACGCGGUAUAGGGGCAGCUGAUCUAAACAUAGAGUACGCUCGAAAUAUAACGAGGCGCAACCUUAUAGCGAGGCAAGACAGAGGAGAAAAA
Long non-coding RNA from Pogonomyrmex barbatus (red harvester ant), 634 nucleotides. Lineage: Eukaryota; Metazoa; Arthropoda; Insecta; Hymenoptera; Formicidae. The record is from RefSeq and is a predicted model, not a curated record.